This 1021-nucleotide ribosomal RNA is filed under the name Glomus sp. Att1192-27. Its description in RNAcentral is "eukaryotic LSU rRNA". It matches the Rfam family "Eukaryotic large subunit ribosomal RNA", at positions 1 to 868 of the family's 3401-position model. The record is from RNAcentral. Lineage: Eukaryota; Fungi; Glomeromycota; Glomeromycetes; Glomerales; Glomeraceae.
AUUUGACCUCAAAUCAGGUAGGAACACCCGCUGAACUUAAGCAUAUCAAUAAGCGGAGGAAAAGAAAAAUAACAAUGAUUCCCCUAGUAACUGCGAGUGAAGAGGGACAAGCUCAAAUUUUAAAUCCAUCGGGUUUUACCCGAUCGAGUUGUAAUUUGAAGAGGCGUUUUCUGUGUUUCUGAUCAGUCCAAGUCCUUUGGGAUAAGGCAUCAUGGAGGGUGAGAAUCCCGUCCGGUUGAUCAGAUUCGCUUUACGAUACGCUUUCUAAGAGUCAAGUUGKUUGGGGAUUGCAGCUUAAAAUGGGGAGGUAAAUUUCUCCUAAGGGCUAAAUAACGGCGAGAGACCGAUAGCGAACAAGUACCGUGAGGGAAAGAUGAAAAGAACUUUGAAAAGAGAGUUAAACAGUACGUGAAAUUGUUGAAAGGGAAACGAUUGAAGCCAGUCGUACCUUCGGGUAAUCAGCCUUUCGGGUGCGAUUAUGUGGAGUGUGAGGAGCUUAAACACCUUCAUGUUUUGCAUAUUCGUACUCUUGGGUGUACUUGCCCGUGUGGUUGGUUAACAUCAAUUUUGGUGGUCAUAAAAUGACUGGAGGAAUGUAGCUUCGAUCUCGUAUUGAAGUGUUAUAGCCUUCGGUAGAUGUGAUGAUCGAGAUUGAGGAUUGCAACGGAUACCCUUCGGGGCUACCUGUCUGGUCUCUGAUCGUUGCUCUGGUGCCGAAAGCUUGCUUACGGUUAUCAAAGUCGAUGGUCAAUAGGUUAGAACGGGUUAAAUUCGUUAAGGAUGUUGACGUAAUGGCUUUAAACGACCCGUCUUGAAACACGGACCAAGGAGUCUAACAUAUAUGCGAGUGUUAGGGUGAUUAAACCCUUACGCGUAAUGAAAGUAAUAUUGGUGGGAACACUUUUGUGCACCAUCGACCGAUCAGGAUAUUUUUUGAUAGAUUUGAGUAAGAGCAUAUCUGCUAGGACCGGAAAGAUGGUGAACUAUGCCUGAAUAGGGUGAAGCCAGAGGAAACUCUGGU